This 16368-nucleotide long non-coding RNA is filed under the name Prunus persica (peach). Its description in RNAcentral is "long non-coding RNA (PPER_LNC000371)". The record is from RNAcentral. Lineage: Eukaryota; Viridiplantae; Streptophyta; Magnoliopsida; Rosales; Rosaceae.
AGGCUAGCUAUCCAAACCACUUCUACAUCUGAUAUACAUAUAUAUAAUAUUACACAGAGCUUCAUUAGUUAACUAAUUACUUAUACCAAACUAAGUUGGUAUAUGUUAAUUAGCGGCGAAUCUUGGGGUACUCUCUUAUCUCUAUCCCCCCAAAUAGCAGGGCUGCGUCCUUGCUAUUAAGAACAGCCUGAUCAUUCCUAAGAGGAGUUGGGUGUCUCCCUGCACGAGCUGGUUGGUCUUGAGAAAAUGGAGGCCUCUUGCCGGGCCGGUCAUAGAACUUGUCUAGCAUGGCAAAAGCCUCCCCUCCAAGCUUUGCUAGCUCUUCCUGAGUUGCCAUAAUAGUAAUAUUGCUACAAUUUAGUACAAGCACACAAACAAACAGAUGCACAAAGCAGGUCAGGUAAUUUGGUUUGCCUUUGUUUUCUUGGUAAAAUGGUUCGCGGCCAAGCCCCAUUAUAUAGGAGUUAAAAAGCCACCUUAUUGUGAGACCUUGUGGAUAAGUUGGUUGGAUAACAUAGAUAUCCAUUCUUUCCAAAAGGGAUUCCCACUUUUGGUGAUUCCUUCAGAGACACUUUUGAAUCUUUGAGUUGGGGGCUUUGCUUACGUUAGAAAUAUGUAUUAGUAAUGUUGCAAAUUACUGAAGUGCCUUAAAAAGUAUUAUGAUCAAUAACACUAUUGAACGUAUGUAUGGAAGAUUGUUUGGUGCUAAGAAUUUCGUGGCAGGUUGACCCAUGGAUAUGGUUGGUACAAAACACAUUAAUGAAAAAUAGGAAUAAGCACAAAUUGUGGGAGGUGAAGAUAUUUAUUCCUCCAGAGAUUGACAGGAAUCAAUAUCAUAGUUUAUUUUGUUUUUUUUUUCAUUGCUUGAGAGCUACAUAUGAUGAAUUCUUCAAAUAAAAUUAUUUGUGGGGUAUUUUUGUAAAGAUCACUUUGUAUUAUAUUUGAACAAUUUACAAUUAAAACUGUCUAUUUCAUAGAUUAUCUCUUUAAAAAAUCACAUAAAUUGAGAGUUGGAUGUGACAAAUUAAUCUCUAAAUAAACUUAUUUGAGGGGGGUAUUUUUGUGGGGCUCAAUUUGUAUUGUAUUUCAACAAUUUGAACCCUCUAUGUCAUAGAUGAUAUCUCUUUAAAAAAGCACCCCAAUUGAAUUUAUUUUUUAACCAUUCUAACCAUGCUCCUUUAUCCAACUCCUAAAACAGGAAGACUUCUAGGAGCUCUUAAAUUUGAGGAGAGAGAAAGGACUCCUAGUGGGUCCCUAUAAUUAAAUACUAGUUUACUUUAAUGCUAAUUAUUUUUUAGUAUAUCCUACAUCUGAUAUACAAAUAUUGGAAUCAUUAGAGGAGAUCUUCCUUGUAAUUUUAUUUCUUGAUUUGAAAAAUAAAGUAUUAGUGUGGCGUGCAUAUGCUUACGAUGGCAAGUUUAUGUAGCCAAAUUAUUUAAUCCUGCAGUUUCUUGAAAUUAGAGACAACAAUUUUGCUCUAACCCUCCAGCUAAAUGACACUUCCAAAACAUGUACUAAGUUCUAGGAAAUGCAAACACAAUUUCACAUUAACAAACUUAAAAUUGUGUAUGUUGUUCUUGUAGAUAUGAAGAAUCUUGGCUAUAAAAGAUAAGACUUUUGCAUCCAUUGCACAUUUGGAAUUGGUGAGACUUACCAUUGUCCGUUUCUAUAAAGUUUAUGUAAAAAUAUUGGAAUCCUUAGAGGAGAUCUUCCUUGUAAUUUUAUUUCUUGAUUUGAAAAAAAAAAGAAAGUAUAUUAGUGUGGCGUGCAUAUGCUUAUGAUGGAAAGUUUAUGUAACAAAAUUAUUCUGGCCUAUCUCAGGGUAGGCAAGGCCUGUGCUUGAUAUCUUCUUGGUAGGAAAUGAUAUUCUUGAUCAUACAUACAUAUAUAUAGGGAGUUUUAAUUGAGGGAUUUCUCAAAUUUGAGGGAUAUCUUUGUGGAGCCCACUGCAGUAUUGCAUUUUACUAAUUCAAACCGCCUAUUUUGUAGAUACUCAUUCAAAGAUCAUCUCUACAAAAAAUCACUUGACACUACUAAAAAAAACCCCUUGCGCGACCAAAUUUUGCGCGACGAAAAACUAUUCGUCGCUCAAAGUCACUUUGCGCGACGAAACUUGAAACUUCGUCACUCAAAGUCUUGCGCGACGAAAAAUAAUUCGUCGCGCAAAGUCCCUUCGCGCGACAAACUUUUGCGCGACGACAAUACAUCGUCGCUCAAAGUCUUGCGCGACCAAUUUUGCGCGACGAAAAAUAAUUCGUCGCUCAAAGUGACUUUGCGCGACGAAAAGUAAACUUCGUCGCGCAAAGUCCUUAUAAAAAUAAAUAAAAAUAAAAAAUUAUUUUUUAAAAUCUUUGCAUGACGUAAUCCAAACAUUUUGUCACUUAACCAAUUUAUUUUUGUUUUUUAUUUUGUAUGCAUAAUACUUAAGAAAUUAAACGGUAUAUAUAUUUAUUAAGUAGCUUUAAAUUUAUUAUUUUAGAUCGGAUUGGAUUUUUGUUAGAAAAAUAUAUUAUUAUUGUUCGGAUUUGGUUUUUGUUAGAAAAUAUAUAUUUUAAAUUGACGAUCGAAUUAGUUCAUUGUAUUCAUAUAGGGUCAAGGAGUGUAGCUUUAAAAAAUUAUCAAAAUCGGAGUUAAAAUAACCAUUAAAUCGUGAUUUUUCAUUAUAACCGUCGAAGAGUUUUGUCCCAUUACUUGAUCUCUGAAUGUUUAUUUUUUCCGAUUUUUAGCGUAUAUGAUCUCGAAGUAUAAACAAACAAGUUUGACGGUUGGAUCGUUGAAACUAGUUUUUUUUAAUGCAUAUGCCAUCAAAACAAUAUAUUCACUAACAAUUAAGAGUUUAUUUAUACUUUCGUUAAAUAUAACAUAAGAUUUUGUGGUAUCCACUAGUGUAAAUAUUUUAAAUUGAAGAUCAAAUUCAGUCAUUGUAUUCAUAUAGGGUCAAGGAGUGUAGCUGUAAAAAAUCAUCAAAAUCGGAGUUAAAAUAACCGUUAAAUCAUGAUUUUUCAUUUAUAACCGUCGAAAAAUUUUGUCCCGUUACUUGAUCUAUGAAUGCUUAUUUUUUCCGAUUUUUGGCGUACAUGAUCUCGAAGUAUAAACAAACAAGUUUGACGGUUGGAUUGUUAAAAUUAGUUUCGUAGAAUGUGUAUGCCAUCAAAACAAUAUAUUCACUAACAAUUAAGAGUUUAUUUAUAUUUUCGUUAAAUAUAACAUAAGAUUUUGUGGAGUGUAAAUAUUUUAAAUUGAAGAUCAAAUUCAGUCAUUGUAUUCAUAUAGGGUCAAGGAGUGUAGCUGUAAAAAAUCAUCAAAAUCGGAGUUAAAAUAACUGUUAAAUCAUGAUUUUUCAUUUAUAACCGUUGAAAAGUUUUGUCCCUUUACUUGAUCUCUAAAUGUUUAUUUUUUCCGAUUUUUGGCGUAUAUGAUCUCGAAGUAUAAACAAACAAGUUUGACGGUUGGAUCGUUGAAACUAGUUUCGUAGAAUGUGUAUGCCAUCAAAACAAUAUAUUCACUAACAAUUAAGAGUUUAUUUAUACUUUCGUUAAAUAUAACAUAAGAUUUUGUGGUAUUCACUAGUGUAAAUAUUUUAAAUUGAAGAUCAAAUUUAGUCAUUGUAUUCAUAUAGGGUCAAGGAGUGUAGCUGUAAAAAAUCAUCAAAGUCGGAGUUAAAAUAACAAAUAAAUCAUGAUUUUUUAUUUAUAACCGUCGAAAUGUUUUGUCCAUUACUUGAUCUAUGAAUGUUUAUUUUUUCCGCUUUUUGGCGUAUAUGAUCUCGAAGUAUAAAAAAACAAGUUUGACGGUUGGAUCGUUGAAACUAGUUUCGUAGAAUGCAUAUGCCAUCAAAAUAAUAUAUUCACUAACAAUUAAGAGUUUAUUUAUACUUUCGUUAAAUAUAACAUAAGAUUUUGUGGUAUCCACUAGUGCAAAUGUUUUAAAUUGAAGAUCAAAUUCAGUCAUUGUAUUCAUAUAGGGUCAAGGAGUGUACCUGUAAAAAAAUCAUCAAAAUCGGAGUUAAAAUAACCGUUAAAUCGUGAUUUUUCAUUUAUAACUAUCGAAAAGUUUUGUCCCGUUACUAGAUCUCUGAAUAUUUAUUUUUUACGAUUUUUGGGGUAUACGAUCUUGAAGUAUAUACAAACAAGUCUUACGGUUGGAUCGUUGAAUGGUGUGUGUGUAUAUAUAUAUAUUUAUUAAGUAGUUUUAAAUUUAUUUAUUUUGUACGUAUAACACUUAAGAAAUUGAAUAGUAUAUACAUAUAUACAUUUAUUAAGUAGCUUUCACCUUAAUUAUAUUUUAAAUCAUAAAAUAAUUUUUUUUUUAUUUUUUCUUAUUCAAAACAAUUAUUUUUAUAAAUAUUCUGCUACGAACCAAUUUUUCGUCUCUCAAAAGUUUGCGCGACCAACAGUUCGUCGUGCAAAACUCAAAAAAUUUGUGCAAGUAACAAAAAUGGGACGCGGGUUUUUAAAAUUAAAAAAAAAACUUUAGACUUUGCGCGACCAAUAUAUAUUUUUCGUCGCGCAAAAAUUUGGGCGGGUACCAAAAAUGGGACGCGGGACUUUUUUUAUAUAAUUGUUUUAGACUUUGCGCGACCAAUAUGUACUUUUCGUCGCGCAAAAAUUUAAAAAUUUUGGCAGGUACCAAAAAUGGGAUGCGGGAAUUUUUUAAAAAAAAAAAUAAUUUUUUUUAGACUUUGCGCGACCAAUAUGUAUUUUUCGUCGCGCAAAGUUAAAUUUUGGCGGGAACCAAAAAUGGGAUGCGGGAAAUUUUUUUUUAAAAAAAUAAUUUUUUUAGACUUUGCGCGACCAAUAUUCCUAUAUUCGUCGCCCAAAACUUUGCGAGACCAAUAUGUUUCGUCGCGCAAAACUUUGCGCGACCAACAAUAUUUUUCGUCGCGCAAAGUGAUAUGAUUUUUAAAACCAAAAUAACUCCUCCACCAUUUUCUCAAUGUCUUUCUCUACUCUUACCUCUCCUCUCUCUUUCCCUCUCCCCAAAUUCCACCUUUUCUCUCACACUCACUCCUCUCACUUAAUCUCUCAUAUCUCUCUUCACUUUCUCUCACUCUCACUCACUCUCUCAUCUAUCUUUUCACUAUCUCUCACUCUCUCAUCUCUCUAUCACUAUCUUAUCUAAUUCUCUCACACUCACUUCUCCCUCUCAUUCUCACUCACUCUCAAUCUUGCCACAAAAGGUAUAUUCUCUCCAAAUUUUAAAUUUUUUUUCAUUAAUAUGUGUUUUUGGAGUUAGUUUUGAGUUUGUGUGGGGUUUGGGGUUGAGUAAAGGGGAGAGAUUGGAGUUUGGGUUGGAUUUGUGGUAUAACAAUUUUAGGGGAGAUUAUGCAUUCUUUUUUUGUUGUUGUUGUUAUUUGACCAUAUUUAUUUUUUUGUAGGUAAUCAUCAAGACUUUGAUGGCUAAAGUUGAGGAUUAGGAAGCUAUCAAAACAUAUCAUCUGUCACUACCACCACAAUACUCUUGUAUUAGGAUUUUAUUAUUGUACUUUGUUAAUUUAUGUGCACAUUUUGAAUAUUAUAUAUAUAUUUAUUGGAUAAUUUGAUCACUAUUUUUCAUAUGUAAUUUUAUUUUGAAUAUGUCAAUUUAAAUUAAAGUAAUUAAGAAAAAUCUUACAAUUAAGUUAAAUUUAAAAAGUAAAAAUUCGAAAAAAUUAAUAUCAACUUAAAUUAAAGUGAUUUAAAAAAAAUCAUACAAUUAAAUUAAAUUUAAAAAGUAAAAAUUUGAAUAAACUAAUAUAAAUAAAUUAAUAUUAAAGAAAUAAUAAAAUAAAAAGUCAAAAACCUUGCGCGACAAAAUAUUUUGUAGAGCAAACUAUUAAAUUAGUUUAUUUUAAUUAAAAAAAUUUAAAACACAAAAAAUAUUUAGUCGCGCAAAUAUUUGCGCGACGUUAGUAUUCAUCACGCAAAACUCUAAAGAUGUAGGCAGGUACCAAAAAUGGGACGCGGAAAUUUUUUAUUUUUUAUAAAUUUUUUUGAGACUUUGCGCGACAAAUAUUUUUCGUCGCGCAAACCUUUGCGCGACCAAUGUGUUUCGUCGCGCAAACCUUUGCGCGACCAAUGUGUUUCGUCGCGCAAAACUUUGCACGACAAAUAUUUUUCGUCGCGCAAACCUUUGCGCGACCAAUGUGUUUCGUCGCGCAAAGUUUUGUGCGACCAAUAUUUUUUCGUCGCGCAAAGUUACUUUGCACGACCAAUAUUUUUUAGUCGCGCAAAGUCACUUUGCGCGACCAAUGAAAAAACUUGGUCGCGCAAAGUCUUUCUUCACGAUCUUUGCGCGACGGAUUCUGCGCGACGAAGUUUCUGUCGCGUUAAAAUUUGUGCGACUACAAUGUAUUUUGCGCGACGAAAUUCUCUUCGUCGCGCAAAGUGUAAAAUGUAGUAGUGUGAAUCUAAUAUUAUUUUACCACUCAAUUAAAAUUAUUGAAAUUACAAUUGGAUAUCGAAACGGUUUUUGAUUUAUCUAAUAUUCGUUGCGCAAAGUGUAAAAUGUAGUAGUGUGAAUCUAAUAUUAUUUUACCACUCAAUUAAAAUUAUUGAAAUUACAAUUGGAUAUCGAAACGGUUUUUGAUUUAUCUAAUAUUUUGCAAAGAUGAUCUAUGAAUGUAGACUUAAAAAAUAGAUGGUUUCAAUCGUUGAAAAAAGAUUCAUAAGAAACCCUAAAAGGUAUCCCUCAAAUAAAAGUAUUUGAAGAAUCCCUCAACAUAUAUAAAGUAUGUGUGAUUUCAAUUUUUCAAUAGAAAAAGAUACCAAUUAAAGUCGGCCAGUGUCCCACAAUCCCCAGCCACAACACAAUCUUGCCUUCAACAAUGCCUAGAUCCUUAGUUGCGAUAAGAUAUUUGAAGAAGCUUGGGGAAUAAAAUGCCUUAAGAGACUGUUUAGGGGUGGUAGAAAUUCACCUAACUCGGGCAUGAGAAGAAUAACGGCCGGGGUUUGGAGGCCGGGAUUGGAGAAGUUAGCGACCGGAAAUGUCGGGGUUCCUGUGGCCGAAAUGUUGGAGAAUUUGGGAGAUCUCAGCCGGGUCUUGAAGGAGUCUCGUGGCGGCCGAGAUUUGGAGCAGCCAGUGUCUUGGGCCGAAUAUGUGGCUGGAGUACUUGGAGGGCUACGGGGCAGGCCUGAGCCCGAGUUUUUCUAAUUGAGGCCGGGUCUUCGGCUUUGAGCAGACAAGGCUUCGGAAAAUGCGGCUGGGGUAUUUGGUCUCUUUACAAGCUGGGCUGAAAGGGUUUUGGUUUGGAGUAGACAAAGCUUUGGAGAAUGGCGGUUGGAGCUUUGUGGAUUUGUUAACAGCUGAAGGGUUUUCUAGGUUGGAAGUUUAAUUGUCUUAUUCGAUAUAUACAUACAUAUUUUCAAAUAAGUGGGGCUGGAACUUCAAGAUAAUUGCGCCCGAGGCUUUAUUGAACCUCCUUUGUCUAAUUUUAUAUAUACGUAAUAUUUUUAUAUAAAUGCAAUUGCCUUGGAUUAUUGCAAGUGCGGCUGGAGGUUCCCAAGCUUAAGCCCUCCAUAUCCUGUUGUAUGAUAAUAUAUAUAUAUAUAUAUAUGUGUGUGUGUGUGUAAGUAUAUAUAAACAAAUGAACCUGCAUGUGCGGCUAGGUACUCAAGCUGAGGCAUUCCUCAUCCUAUUAUAUAUAUUAUAUGACUGACAACAUAAGAAAAAUCAGAGGCUCAAGUUCAAGACACCAACCCGAGCUCAGGAUUUUCCGAGGAUUACAUGCACGUGACGGAGGCUUUGCAAGGGAAGAAAUCAAGGAGGUUGAUAAUAAUUUCAAAUGUUCCAAAGCAAUAAGAAAUAAUCAAGCAUGUCAGACUAUCUCCUUCAAUGCAAUCCCACGAAUUUAGGGGGGCCUCAGAAGGAAGGAAAUUUUAAAAGAGUUGACCUUUGGCCAUUCAAUGGCCAGCCCAUGGGCUGACGAAUGCCCUAUAUAAACCUUGCUCAACAAAGGCAGAAGACAUAACAUCAGACAAACAAACUUAUCUUUUGUCUCGCACUUUUCUUUUCCUAGACUUAGAAUUUUACUUUUCAAGCACCUAGUGUAGUGAGUUCUUCCUUUUUUUAGUGUAAGUUUAUAUUUUUCUUGUCAUUUAAAUUCUUGUUUGAUUUAUAUUUCUUGUCAUUUAAAUUCAAGUUUAUUUUCAUUCCUUUAUAUUUCAUUGUUAUCGCACUUCAAUUAAGUUUAAUUUCAAGUUUGUUUAUUUUAUCGUUCUUAGCGUUCUUAUCGCUUUUAUUUCGUUCUUACUUUAUUUAGCGUUUUGAUUUAUUUUAUCGCACUUCAAUUCUUGUCUUUACGUUUAUACACGUAUUUAGUUUAAUUGCAUUAUUUUUACAUAAAACUCUAAAAAUCACAAAAACAUCCGUAUGAAACCUAACCAUCCUCGAGCCAGAGGAAGUGAAAGAAUCUAGGCCAAGAGGAGGUUCCUUGCUUGGCCGAUCAAUCGUUUGGUCAGAAGUUAGUGCUAAAAUAUGAAAACUAUGAGAGAAUAUUUGUUUGUGGGAAUUUUCUGUGUAUUCUUCUCCUUGUAGGAGGUCAUAUUUAUAAUACAACGAAACCUGAAUGGGCAAGUAAAUAAUAAAUUCCUAAAUCUAUUUGCAGUAGGAAAUCAGGAAUUAAAGUAAAUCAAUUACAAUUAUAAUAGGAAUUCUUAGUGUGUAAGGAAAGUAAGUCAAUAUCCACAAGUCACGCCAACACUCCCCCUCACGUUGGUGCAUAGAUGUCGCCAAUGCCCAACUGAUCUAGUGAAUUGUGGAAUGCUUUACUGGAAAUCGCCUUUGUCAAAAUAUCCGCCAAUUGAUCCUCGGAUUUCACAAAAGGAAACUGAAACACUUUAGCCUCAAGCUUUUGUUUGAUGAAGUGUCGAUCCACCUCAACAUGUUUAGUACGAUCAUGCUGAACCGGAUUCUGUGCAAUGGCUAUAGCAGCCUUGUUAUCACAAAAGAGAUUCAUUGUGGAUGUAGGUUUAUACCCAAGUUCAGUAAGCAACUUUCUUAACCAAAGAAGUUCACAAAUCCCUUUAGUCAUGCCUCUGAACUCGGCUUCUGCACUGGAUAAAGCUACUACAUUCUGUUUCUUGCUUCUCCAUGUCACCAAAUUACCUCCCACGAAUGUGAAGUAACCCGAUGUGGAUUUUCUAUCUGUUACAUUACCUGCCCAAUCUGCAUCUGAAUAACCAUCAAUAUUUAGAUGACCAUGCUUUGAGAACAUAAGUCCUUUUCCAGGUGCAGACUUCAAAUAUCUAAGUAUCCGAAGAACUGCAUUCAUAUGGUCUUCACUUGGAGAGUGCAUAAAUUGACUGACAACGCUCACCGCAUAAGCAAUGUCUGGUCGAGUAUGUGACAAAUAGAUCAAUCUUCCCACUAACCUUUGGUAUCUUUCUUUGUUAGUUGGAACUUGAUCCGGAUAUUCUCCAAGAUGAUGAUUCUGAAUAAUAGGAGUGUCCGCAGGUUUACAAUCUAGCAUUCCUAUGUCUGUCAACAAGUCUAAGACAUAUUUCCUUUGAGAGAGAAAUAUGCCUUGCUGCGAUCGAGCCACCUCAAUUCCCAAGAAAUACUUGAGUCCACCUAGAUCCUUCAUCUCAAACUCCGUAGCCAGAUAGUCUUGUAGCUGUGAUAUUUCCUGUUUAUCAUUCCCAGUAAUAAUCAUAUCAUCAACAUAAAUUAUUAAUGCUGUUACCUUCCCUUUUCGAUGUUUCAAGAACAAAGUAUGAUCUGAGUUGCACUGUUUGAAACCAUUAUUCUUCAUUGCCAUGGUGAACCGUCCAAACCAUGCACGUGGUGACUGUUUCAAUCCAUACAAUGCUUUUCGUAACCUGCAAACUGUUCCAGUCUGAGUAGUAUUAUAUCCAGGAGGAAUGUCCAUGUACACCUCCUCCGUGAGUUCGCCAUGUAGAAAAGCAUUCUUUACAUCAAACUGGUGUAGUGGCCAAUCUAAAUUAGCUGCAAGGGACAAUAAGACUCUGACGGUGUUUAACUUUGCAACGGGAGCAAAGGUUUCUUCAUAGUCUAUACCAUAGGUCUGUGUGUACCCUUUUGCCACAAGUCUUGCCUUGUAUCGCUCGAUAGAUCCAUCUGCAUUGUGUUUUAUAGUAAACACCCAUCUACAUCCGAUAGUCUUUUUUUCUCGGGGUAUAAUCUCCAAUGUCCAAGUUUGAUUUUUCUCAAGGGCUUUCAUCUCCUCUUUUAUAGCUUGGACCCACUUAGGAUCUUUCAAUGCUUCAGAGACCUUGGUUGGAAUAUGGAUAGCAGACAACUGAUGCACAAAAGCCUUAAGUGGUUCAGACAGCUUCUCAGUGGAUACAUGAUUUGCAAUUGGAUACUUGGAUGUCUUGCCAAUAUCAGGUGAAUAACGGUUUGGUGGCUUCCCACGAUUUUGCCUGAAAGGUAAUUGAUAUCCAAUAGUUUUAUCAUCUAAAUGCACAAGUCUAGUAGGAGUAGUUACCUCAAGGAUAUUCUCAAGAGAUUGGUCUGUUGGUACUGUUGAGUUAGAGGGGGGGCUUCAUCUUGUUGUUCUGUAUUGUCUGUAAGUGUGAGACUCGGAUCAGAAAUAUCUUCGCGUGGAUCAGGUGGGUCAGGCAAUUGAUCGCUAUAAAUGGGCGAUUGGUCGCUUUUCGACAGAGAGUAAUCUCGUGCUCCAGACUCGGAAUGAUCAAUCAUUUCUGUACAAAGGAGAAUUUCUUGAUUUUCCAAGUUGCUCCAAUUCUGCUCUUCACGUCGUAUCUCCCCUUGAAGUGUAGAAUUGGAUGAUGGGUCAUGGAAGAACAGCUCAGAUUCCAGAAAGGUCACAUCCAAAGUGACAUAGGUUCGUUGGGUAGGAGGGUGAUAACAACGGUAGCCUUUCUGAUGAGUGGCAUAACCCACAAAAACACAACGAAGCGCACAUGGAUCAAGUUUGCUACGUUGAUUUUUGUGGAGAUGAACGAAAGCCACACAUCCAAAGAUUCGGGGUGUGAGUACCAAAACAGAAGGCAGAGGUCUGUGUUGUGCAAGCACCUGUAAGGGAGUUUUAAAGGUCAGUACACUAGAAGGCAUGCGGUUGAUCAGAUGAACUGCGGUGACAAUAGCAUCAUCCCAGUGAUGGCGAGGAACAUGAGCGCCAAUCAGAAGUGCUCGGGCGGUUUCAAGAAGAUGUCGAUUCUUUCGUUCAGCAACACCAUUUUGUUGUGGUGUCUGAGGACAAGUCGUCUCAUGGAUAAUUCCAUGUUGUUGGAAGUAAGUUUGAAAGUCAUGAUUGACAAAUUCUCCACCAUUGUCGGAGUGAAGAAUCUGGAUUUGAGCAUUAAACUGAGUUUUCAUCUGUUUGUGGAAGGACUGAAAACAGGAAAACACUUCGUUUUUAUUCUUCAGCAAAUAAAGCCAUGUCAUCCGUGUACAAUCAUCGAUGAAUGUGACAAACCAUCGAACACCAGAAGGAGCAGUGAUAGGAGAAGGUCCCCAGACAUCAGAGUGAAUUAACGUAAAUGGAGUAGUACACUUGUUCGUACUCAACGGGUAGGGCACACGGUGACUCUUGGCCAAAAUACAAGUAUCACAUGUGAAGUCAGAGUCCUUGAAACCUGAGAAUAAAUCUGGUAUAAGAUGCUUCAUAUAACUAAAAGAAGGAUGUCCCAAUCGACGAUGCCACAACCAGAUUUGCUUUUGUUUGCUAUCAAAGGGAUGUGUCACGCUGUUAGCCAUGCCGGGACUGAAGUCAUCGACAUAAUAUAGCCCCCCUCUCUUAGUACCACGACCAAGAAUCUCCUUAGUGUGAAUAUCCUGAAGCAAACAAAAACUCGGGUAAAUGAGUACACAACAAUUCAAUUGUUCAGUAAGCUGACUAACUGACAAUAAUUUAGUGGAUAAAGAUGGAACAAGUAAAGUAUUAGACAGUGUGAGAGAGGAUGAGAGUGCAACAGUGCCAGCCCCUGUCACAGGAUAAGUAACACCAUUGGCAUUUGCAAUACAGGUUCGUCGAGGUUGUGUAGUAUUCAGAAAAUCAUCAGGAUCAAACGUCAUAUGAUCAGUUGCACCAGAAUCAAUUAUCCAGCUCCUGGAAUUAAUCUUAUCGGAAGUAUGGAAUCCAUAACCAGUACCAUUACUGGUCAUAUUGCAUUGUCCUUGAUCUAUAAGAGUAGCCCACCAAUUGGGGUAGCCAUGCGAUUUAAAACAAGUCUCACAAGUGUGUCGUGGAUCACCACAAUAUGCGCAAUCUAGUCCACGUGUCGGGGUCGUUAGUCUAGAAGUCAUAAUUUGUGCAGCGGAAGAUGCAUAGGAUACAGGUUGAGUAGGAAUUGGGAUCGGAAUCUGAGCCUGAGUCGGGGCCGGAGUCGGAGUCGAAAUUGGGAUCAGGGUCUGAAUCAGAGACAAAUUCGGGUUUGGGGUCAUCAUCGGAGUGGGGGUCGGGGUCGUCUUCGGAGUCGGGGUCGGGGUCGUCGUCGUCAUAGUCGGGGUCGGGGUCGGGGUCGUCGUCGUCAUAGUCGGGGUCGGGGUCGGGGUCGUCGUCGUCAUAGUCAGUGUCGGGGUCGGGGUCGUCAAAAAAGAAUCCGGAUUCUGGAUCGGGUUCAGGGUCAAAGUCUGCAUCUGUAGGAGCGGAGCCAUCUGGGCACUCAACUCAAUGAUGGUUGGUGGAGAUUGAGAGAAGGAGUCGGUGGUGCUACCUCCAUGAGGGUUGAAAAAAUCAUCAACCCCCAUAGCAGCGGCGGGGGUUUGAAACUAGAGUCAGCAAUUCCAAGAUCGCCGCUCUGAUACCAUGCUAAAAUAUGAAAACUAUGAGAGAAUAUUUGUUUGUGGGAAUUUUCUGUGUACUCUUCUCCUUGUAGGAGGUCAUAUUUAUAAUACAACGAAACCUGAAUGGGCAAGUAAAUAAUAAAUUCCUAAAUCUAUUUGCAGUAGGAAAUCAGGAAUUAAAGUAAAUCAAUUACAAUUAUAAUAGGAAUUCUUAGUGUGUAAGGAAAGUAAGUCAAUAUCCACAAGUCACGCCAACAGUUAGAAGCGCAACACAUCCAUCUAUUCUCAUUCCAUUCAAGCCCAAAUUCAGGGCUUGGUGGUGGCACACACUGCACUCCAAAAAAGAAGGAUAAAAAGUUCAUUCCGUUAGCCGCCCCGACCAAAGAAAGGGAAACAGAGACACUUUUGAAUCUUUGAAGUGCCUUAAAAGGUAUUAUGAAUAGCACUAUUGAAUGUUUGGAAGAUUGUUUGGUGCUUAGAAUUUCGUGGGAGGUUGACCCAUGGAUAUGGUUGGUACAAAACACAUUAAUGAAAAAUAGGGAUAAGCACAAAUUGUGAGAGGUGAAGAUAUUAUCUUCCUUAAGAGAUUGAAAGGAAUCAAUAUCAUACUUUAUCUGGUUUCCUUUUUCUUUGCUUGAGAACUGCAUAUGAUAAAUCUUUCAAAUAAACUUAUUUGAGGGGUAUUUUUGUAGAGCUCACUGUGUAUUGUAUUUGAACAAUUCAAACUGUCUAUUUAAUAGAUUAGAGUGCUACUAAACGAACCCUAAUAUUAACUGAAUACACCAUACUACUAAACUAUUUAUUAAAUUACUAAUUUACCCUAAUAUAAACUAAAAACAAAUAUAUUGAAUUGUGAAACAAAUGUAAUUUUAAUAAGUGCACCUUACUAACGCGGAUCCUCUUGUUGUUUUUUCUCAAUUUGUUUGACUUUUCUUUUAAGCAUCCCACAUCAUUUAAAAAAAUAUCUAAAACAUGACACCCAUAUUUUUGCCUACAAUCUUCUUCUCCAUCUUAGCAUUUGGACAACCGAACUCUUUUCUCUCUCAAAACCAAGCUCAGCAGAACCUCUUCUCCUUUCAAUCAGUCUUCUUCUCCAAACAUAUAAUUUUUUCAUUUUCCUCAUCUUUCAAUUCACGAAAUUUCCUAUAAUAUUUGAAGCCCCUUGUAAAACUUGUUUUCUCCUAUUUACCCCCACAAAAGUAGCCACACGAAUCAUAUUGGGACUUAAUUAUAUCAGCAAGCAAGGCAAUCAAAGUUGUUUUUUGGUUUCAGAUAUUGGAUUCAAAAAACAAAAAAUUAUUUUUUAAAAAUCAGAAAGAGAAAAAUUAAAAAAACAGACUGCAUGAAAUAUUGUGUUUCUUGAGAAAAAAAUUAAAAACCCCCGAAGCUGCAAAAUUGAGUGUUUUAAUAAGAAUGAUUCCCUUACUGAGUAUUACUUAUUAUUUGAUUUAGGAUCAAUAUCAAAGAAUUCUAUUGAACGUUUUUGUGUUAUUAGUUAUAUUUAGGAUAUAUAAAAAAGAACAAUAUUGUCCAGAGUGUACAGUUAAAAACUUUGAGAAUCAAAGUAUGGGGAAAGGGAUCGUGGGGAGAUGAAUGUUGUUGGUCUUUUUUUGAAGAGGUAGUGUAUUAGGGUGUAUCAAGGGUAUUUUUGGUAGUUAAAUAGGGUGUACUUUGUUAAUUUUACAUUUUAAUUAGGGCGUACUCAGUUAAUUUUAGGGUUCAUUUAGCAGCACUCAUAGAUUAUCUCUUUAAAAAAUCACACAAAUUGACGGGUAUUUUUGUAGAGCUCAAUUUGUAUUGUAUUUCAACAAUUUGAAUUGUCUAUGUCAUAGAUUAUAUCGCUUUAAAAAAGCACCCGAAUUGAACUUUUUUAACCAUUUGAUUGAAUAGUAGUCAUUUAUUAAGUGUGUGUCUAUUUGUCUCAUCACAUUUAUAUAUGUUUGAAUGGUUUACAAUUUGUUCAAAUAAAUGAAAUGCAAAGUGGAUGAACCCUAGAAAGUGUCGUAUUUGAAAAAUAUAUAAAUAAAAUGAUAACCUUACACAUAUUUGUUUAUUUUAUAUAAACAUCACCACAAACAUAGAAUAAACAGUUGCAAAACAACAGAAAACUUCUAAUAGUCAAAAAACAUCCUUUAGCUUACAUGAUAGAAACAGAACAACUGCCUUUUCCCACAACACUUCUAUUCAACUGAGCAUCUUAUAUCUUCUUCAGUUGCAUUAUUUGCAAAAUUUGUUCCUCUGUUUGCAAAUAUGAAGCAUUUUUCAAACAUCUAGCAUAUUGCUGAAACAUCUAUCACUAGAUCACAUCUUACAAAAGUUAUUCUUCUGUAUUUGUUGUCGCUACUUUUCUUCUAAUUAAUAGUCUAAUCAAUCUAAUAGAGUUUGUUGUUGCAAUUCCAAAAGAGCUCAAGCCAGACAAACACACAUACACCUGCGUCAAAAUUCACUUUGACCAUUGACGCGUUGAGUUAGAAACUUUCCUUCUUCUUGGUUCAAAUUUAGGGAAGGAAGAUAAUAAGGAAAGCUCAACAAUUGUACCUAUAAGUUCCUCUUAACUUUUGACUAUUUUGGGAUUUUUUUUUUAUUGUUAUAGCAACAAAAAAAAAAAAAUUUAUUUUGAUAAUUUUAAUUUUUUGAAGGGAAAAAUUCUUUUGAUAUUUAAACCUUAAUCAUAGCGUAAAACCUACAUCUUCUUUUAUAUCACAUCACCAUCUUUUAAGUUAAACUUUAUGUGUCGUAUUGAUCACAUUUGCUAACUCAUCGAUAAAGAUAAUUCUCUCACUUUAUUAAGAAAUAUGACCCACGAAUAAGGAUGAGUAAUUGCCAAGUCAGUUUAGUGCAUCUGAUACCAGUGCUGAUCUUUUCGCUUUCUACUUCAACUCUAUAUUUCUUCUUUGUUAUUUUCUUACAUGAAUAAAAUUCUUUGAUAUUGCAAGGAAAGUUGUUUUCUUCUCCUCUUUUCUUCUAUUUUUUUUUAAUAAUAAUAAAUUUCCUUGAAAAGUGAUUACAUAACAAACAAGAGAGAGUAUGCAAGAGAGGAGGGGCUAGCUUUAAAUAUAUUUUAUAUAACAUAAGAAGUGAUUUGUACAUAUAAUUACAAGCGGACACAUAUACAUAUAGGCGCAGAAAAUAAGCUAGCUUAGACUGUAGGCUAGCUAUCCAAACCACUUCUACAUCUGAUAUACAUACAUAUUCUAUAUUACAGAGAGCUUCAUUAGUUAACUAAUUACUUAUACCAAACUAAGUUGGUAAUAAUUAGCGGCGAACCUUGGGGUACUCUCUUAUCUCUAUGCCCCCAAAUAGCAGGGCUGCGUCCUUGCUAUUAAGAACAGCCUGAUCAUUCCUAAGAGGAGCUGGUUGUCUCCCGGAACGAGCUUGUUGGUCUUGAGAAAAUGGAGACCUCUUGCUGGGCUGGCCACAGAACUUGUCUAGCAUGGCAAAAGCCUCCAUUCCAAGCCUUGCUAGCUCUUCUUGAGUUGCCAUAAUAAUAUUGCUAAAAUUUAGUACAAGCACACAAAACACAGAUGCACGAAGCAGGUCAGGUAAUUUGGUUUGCCUUUGUUUUCUUGGUAACAACGGUUUGCGGCCACGCCCCAUUAUGUAGGAGUUAAAAAGGCGAAUAUGGAAGAUUUUUUGUUGCUAAGAAUUUCGUGCAGGUUGACAGACGGAUAUGGUUGG